Molecule: non-coding RNA, 148 nt
Filed under: Pan paniscus (pygmy chimpanzee)
Lineage: Eukaryota; Metazoa; Chordata; Mammalia; Primates; Hominidae
Also listed under: 1 other name
Source: Rfam by way of RNAcentral
GCUGGGCAUGGUGGUGCACGCCUGUAGUCCCAGCUACUCAGGAGGCUGAGGCAGGAGAAUCACUUGAACCCAGGAGGCAGAGGUUGCAGUGAGCCGAGAUCACGCCACUGCACUCCAGCCUGGGUGACAGAGUGAAACUCUGUCUCAA